This 505-nucleotide ribosomal RNA is filed under the name uncultured Glomus. RNAcentral describes it as "SSU rRNA". It matches the Rfam family "Eukaryotic small subunit ribosomal RNA", at positions 569 to 1078 of the family's 1831-position model. Lineage: Eukaryota; Fungi; Glomeromycota; Glomeromycetes; Glomerales; Glomeraceae. The record is from RNAcentral.
AGCAGCCGCGGUAAUUCCAGCUCCAAUAGCGUAUAUUAAAGUUGUUGCAGUUAAAAAGCUCGUAGUUGAAUUUCGGGACCAAUUUGUUGGUCGUGCCUCGGUACGUACUGGCAUUAUUGGUUUCUCCCUUCUGAAGAACCUCGAUGCCAUUAAUUUGGUGUCGUGGGGAAUCAGGACUGUUACUUUGAAAAAAUUAGAGUGUUUAAAGCAAGCAUACGCUUGAAUACAUUAGCAUGGAAUAAUGAAAUAGGACGUUUGAUUCUAUUUUGUUGGUUUCUAGGAUCGACGUAAUGAUUAAUAGGGAUAGUUGGGGGCAUUAGUAUUCAAUUGUCAGAGGUGAAAUUCCUGGAUUUAUUGAAGACUAACUACUGCGAAAGCAUUUGCCAAGGAUGUUUUCAUUAAUCAAGAACGAAAGUUAGGGGAUCGAAGACGAUCAGAUACCGUCGUAGUCUUAACCAUAAACUAUGCCGACUAGGGAUCGGAUGAUGUAAUUUUUAAUGACUCA